GAAUUGCCUUCUCUCAUGGUGAAACCUGGAAAACUAUGAGACGGUUCAGCUUGACCACCUUACGAAAUUUUGGAAUGGGUGAGUGGAUCAUAGAAGACACAAUUAUAGAGGAAUGCCAGAAUCUCAUACAGAACUUUGAGUUUCACAGAGCCUUUUGAAAUCAAAACAAUAAUGAAUGCUUCUGUUGCUAAGAUCAUUGUAUUAGUGUUGCUUGGAAAAUGGUUUGACUACAAGACUCCCAGUUCCUGAGACUCUUAGCCUUGACUGGUGAAAAUGUGAAAUUCAUUGGAGGUCUUAGAAUUCUUUUCAAUAUGUUUCUUGUUUUGGGGUUUCUCCUAAAAAGUCAUAAGACCAUACUCAGAAAUAGAGAUGAGUUGUUUUCUUUUAUAAGGAUGGCCUUUCUAGAUCACCAUCAUAAACUUGACAAAAAUGAUCCAAGAAAUUUCACUGAUGUCUUUUUGGUAACACAGCAGGAGCUCAUGUUUUUUUCUUUAGAGGAGAAUGACACAUUUGCUGACUAUUUCAGUGAUAAAAAGUUGGUGACACUUGUUAAUAAUCUGUUCACGACAGGUACAGAGACCACAGCCUCCACAUUGCACUGGGGAAUUUUGCUCGUGAUGAGAUAUCCUGAGGUCCAGAAAAAGGUCCACAAUGAGAUCACCAAAGUUGUGGUAUCGGCCCAAUCUUGACUUGCACACCGAACUCAAAUGACACACACAGAUGCUGUCAUUUAAGAAGUACAAAGAUUUGCUAACAUUCUGCCCACAAGCUUAUCCCAUGCAACAACCACAAAUAUAUUUAAAAAUUACUGCAUUCCAAAGGGCACUGAGGUUAUCAUCUUGCUGGCUUCAGUAGCUCGAGAUCAAGCACAGUGGGAAAAACCAGACACUUUUAAUCCUGAGCAUUUCCUCAACUCUAAGGAAAAGUUUAUCAAGAGAGAAGCGUUCCUGCCCUUUCAGUCGCCGGAUGUGUGCUGGUGAGUCAUUCGCAGGAAGGAGCUUUUCCUGUUUUUCACCAGCCUCCUGCAAAGUUCACCUUCCAGCCACUCCCUGGAGUCUCCCAUCUGGACCUGGACCUAAGCCUGGACGUUGGCUUCACCACUUGACCAGUGCCUCAUAAGACCUACGCUCUGCCCAGGCCUAGGCUCUGCAUAUGCGCCGGAGCCUCAGUUCU
Molecule: long non-coding RNA, 1173 nt
Filed under: Homo sapiens (human)
Lineage: Eukaryota; Metazoa; Chordata; Mammalia; Primates; Hominidae
Description: non-protein coding lnc-RHAG-1:1
Source: RNAcentral